This 250-nucleotide ribosomal RNA is filed under the name uncultured bacterium. Its description in RNAcentral is "partial 16S ribosomal RNA". It matches the Rfam family "Bacterial small subunit ribosomal RNA", at positions 524 to 773 of the family's 1533-position model. The record is from RNAcentral.
UACGAGUGCCCCAAGCGUUAUCCGGAAUUAUUGGGCGUAAAGGGUGUGUAGGCGGUCUAGUUAGUCUUCUGUCAAAUUCUUCGGCUUAACCGGGGGUCCGCAGGGGAAACGGCUAGACUCGAGGAUGCGAGAGGUGAAUGGAACUCAUAGUGUAGGGGUGAAAUCCGUUGAUAUUAUGGGGAACACCAAAAGCGAAGGCAAUUCACUGGCGCACUCCUGACGCUGAAACACGAAAGCGUGGGUAGCGAAU